Oreochromis niloticus (Nile tilapia) is the source of this 398-nucleotide long non-coding RNA. RefSeq lists it as uncharacterized. NCBI's taxonomy places the organism in Eukaryota, Metazoa, Chordata, Actinopteri, Cichliformes, Cichlidae. The record is from RefSeq and is a predicted model, not a curated record. The transcript has 2 exons.
CACCCUCCAUCACAGGCAGAACAUCUGAUGAGAAAUAAACCCGACACCACAAACCAUGAAAAGAUCUGCAUAUCGAUCACGUUUCACUCACCUGUCAGGCCCUGAUGGGCGUUAGCAGAGAUAACCAGCAGCACAGAGCCACACCUCUGGGGCCGACCAGCAGCCAUGACCCGAAGACCCCCAAAGAGAGUGGCUGAGACCAAAACCUCGUCAGGAAAAGUUUACGGAAUUUAUAUCAUACUGUUUAUACUUCCUGUUUAUCCAAGCUGGUACCUGGAUGCUAACAGGUGAGCGGCUACUUGGUGAAACUCUGCCCCCUGGUGGUGGGAGUGUACAAAAACACUUAACACAGAUUUCUGUUCAUCACCCAAAAUAAAAGACAAACGUCUGUAGAGCGA